UACGUAGGGUGCAAGCGUUAUCCGGAAUUAUUGGGCGUAAAGAGCUCGUAGGCGGUUUGUCGCGUCUGCUGUGAAAACUGGAGGCUCAACCUCCAGCCUGCAGUGGGUACGGGCAGACUAGAGUGCGGUAGGGGAGACUGGAAUUCCUGGUGUAGCGGUGAAAUGCGUAGAGAUCAUGAGGAAGACCAGUGGCGAAGGCGGGUCUCUGGACAGUUCCUGACACUGAGGCACGAAGGCCAGGGGAGCAAACGGG
Molecule: ribosomal RNA, 253 nt
Filed under: uncultured bacterium
Lineage: Bacteria
Description: partial 16S ribosomal RNA
Rfam family: Bacterial small subunit ribosomal RNA
Source: RNAcentral